This 1130-nucleotide long non-coding RNA is filed under the name Coturnix japonica (Japanese quail). Its description in RNAcentral is "lncRNA (ENSCJPG00005001770.1)". The record is from RNAcentral. Lineage: Eukaryota; Metazoa; Chordata; Aves; Galliformes; Phasianidae.
AUGACAACCCGUAAGCGGCAGCUCCCGGCAGGACGGGCGCGGUACCUGAGACAACUUUCCGAUUCCCUCCCAAGUUCCCGGUACUCGGCGGUUCGGCCGCCUCGUGCCACGGCCGCGGAGCUGGGCAGAGCAGCGCCGGGCGGUGCGCUGUGCUGCCGGGCCGCCUCCCGGUACCGACGAGAAGAGAUGAAGAAACGGAGAGCGGAGAGCUCCUUGCCACGGAUCGCAACCCGACUCAGCCACAGACUUAGUAGAAACCUUAAUUUCCGUCCCAUGCUCUAAUUAUGGGAGGUUUCCUCCCACCUCGCUGUUACUUUUGUGGAGAUGAAGUAAUCUCCCUCGCGCCAUCCUACGGAGCCGCCUGUGUGAGUGCGGCCGUGGCUGAGCGCCAGGAGCUGCUUAGAGACAUGAAUGAAAUCCGGGGCUGUGCUUGAGCUCUGCCGGCUGAGCGUAGCCGGGGUGUGACACAAAGCUACUCGGGAGAUCCGCGUGUGUACGGCUCUGCUGGCCUCCCAUGCUUUGCUACUGCAGUACAUCAAGAUUUUUGUUCAGGUUCCCAGCAGAAAAUGGGCUAAAUUUCUGAAUUUUACAGGUGAUAAAUCCUGUACAGAAAUACAAGCCUGAAAGUCCAUUCUGCAGGUGUAUUUUUCUCAUACAGUACGAUAAAUUCACUUGCACAGAGGAUUCUAGAGGAACAGACCGUGUCUCUUUCCUGUAUGUCUUUUGGUACGCCCUCAUGACAUGACCUGUAAGAGAGAUGACGUGGUUUUGUCUGAUCAUCUCUCUAAAUUUGCCAGACCCAUCUGGUGGCCUUCUGUGAUGGACAAAAGAAGGGCAAAUGAUGUCGUCUACUUGGGCUUGUGCAAGGCCUUUGACAUGGUCCUGCACCAUGUCCUUAUCUCUAAACUGGAGAAAUAUGGAUUUGAAGGCUGAAGUGGAUAAAGAGUUGGUUGGAUGGAUGCAGGCAGAGGGUUGUGGUGAAGGGCUCUGUGCCAAGGUAGAGACUGGUCAUGACUGGUGUUCCCCAGGGGUCCAUUUUGGGACUGGUGCACUUCAGUGUUUUUAUCAGCAGCAUCAAUGGUGGGAUUGAGUGUACCCUCAACAGGUUUCACGACACUGAGCGUUGCAGU